UCCAGACUCCUACGGGAGGCAGCAGUGGGGGAUAUUGCACAAUGGGGGGAACCCUGAUGCAGCGACGCCGCGUGGGUGAAGGAGCGUUUCGGCGCGUAAAGCCCUAUCGGCAGGGAAGAAGGAGGACGGUACCUGACUAAGAAGCCCCGGCUAACUACGUGCCAGCAGCCGCGGUAAUACGUAGGGGGCAAGCGUUAUCCGGAUUUACUGGGUGUAAAGGGGGCGCAGACGGCAGCGCAAGCCAGGAGUGAAAGCCCGGGGCCCAACCCCGGGACUGCUCUUGGAACUGCGCGGCUGGAGUGCAGGAGGGGCAGGCGGAAUUCCUGGUGUAGCGGUGAAAUGCGUAGAUAUCAGGAGGAACACCGGUGGCGAAGGCGGCCUGCUGGACUGCGACUGACGUUGAGGCCCGAAAGCGUGGGGAGCAAACAGGAUUAGAUACCCUGGUACGC
Molecule: ribosomal RNA, 449 nt
Filed under: uncultured bacterium
Lineage: Bacteria
Description: partial 16S ribosomal RNA
Rfam family: Bacterial small subunit ribosomal RNA
Source: RNAcentral